Molecule: small nuclear RNA, 147 nt
Filed under: Sorex araneus (European shrew)
Lineage: Eukaryota; Metazoa; Chordata; Mammalia; Eulipotyphla; Soricidae
Description: U1 spliceosomal RNA (ENSSARG00000019495.1)
Source: RNAcentral
AACCUUGCCUUACAAGGAAAGAUGCCAUGUUCACAAGGCAUUUUCCCAGAAUAAUUCUAUUCUGUUGCACUAGGCGUGUUGGCCCUUUCAAUAUCCUCAAAUGUGGAACAACCAAUUGCAUGGUUUAUGGAAGUGGAAGGACUUUCC